RNAcentral lists this ribosomal RNA (473 nucleotides) under uncultured bacterium. RNAcentral's name for it is "partial 16S ribosomal RNA". It matches the Rfam family "Bacterial small subunit ribosomal RNA", at positions 30 to 507 of the family's 1533-position model. The record is from RNAcentral.
AGUGAACGCUGGCGGUAGGCUUAACACAUGCAAGUCGAACGGCAGCACAGUAAGAGCUUUCUCUUACUGGUGGCGAGUGGCGGACGGGUGAGGUAAACAGCGGAAUCUACUUUUUCGUGGGGGGUAACGUAGGGAAACUUACGCUAAUACCGCAUACGACCUACGGGGGAAAGCAGGGGAUCUUCGGACCUGGCGCGAGUGAAUGAACCGAUGUCUGAUUAGCUUGUUGGCGGGGUACAGGCCCACCAAGGCGACGAUGCGUAGCUGGCCUGAGAGGGUGACCGGCCACAUUGGGACUGAGAUACGGCCCAGACUCCGACGGGAGGCAGCAGGGGGGAAUAUUGCACAAUGGGCGCAAGCCUGAUGCAGCAACGCCGCGGGCGGGAGGACGGCCUGCGGGUUGGAAACCGCUUUCAGCAGGGACGAAGCUUUUUGUGACGGUACCUGCAGAAGAAGCACCGGCUAACUACGUG